Molecule: small nuclear RNA, 189 nt
Filed under: Chelonoidis abingdonii (Abingdon island giant tortoise)
Lineage: Eukaryota; Metazoa; Chordata; Testudines; Testudinidae
Description: U2 spliceosomal RNA (ENSCABG00000021924.1)
Rfam family: U2 spliceosomal RNA
About the family: U2 is a small nuclear RNA (snRNA) component of the spliceosome (involved in pre-mRNA splicing). Complementary binding between U2 snRNA (in an area lying towards the 5' end but 3' to hairpin I) and the branchpoint sequence (BPS) of the intron results the bulging out of an unpaired adenosine, on the BPS, which initiates a nucleophilic attack at the intronic 5' splice site, thus starting the first of two transesterification reactions that mediate splicing.
Source: Rfam by way of RNAcentral
UCACCUUUAUUUAAUAUUUUCUAAUAAACUUUUAAAUCUGUUCUUAUCAGUUUAAUAUCUGAUAUGUUCUCUAUCUGAGAACUAUAUAUUAAAUGGUUUUUUGGAACAGGGAGAUGGAUUAGGAGCUUGCUCCAUCCACUCCACGCAUCGACCUGGUAUUGCAGUACCUCCAGGAACGGUGCACCUCCC